This 424-nucleotide ribosomal RNA is filed under the name Bacillota bacterium. RNAcentral's name for it is "Firmicutes bacterium partial 16S ribosomal RNA". It matches the Rfam family "Bacterial small subunit ribosomal RNA", at positions 355 to 776 of the family's 1533-position model. RNAcentral also lists the same sequence under 1 other name. The record is from RNAcentral. Lineage: Bacteria; Bacillati; Bacillota.
UAAGGAAUAUUGGUCAAUGGACGCAAGUCUGAACCAGCCAUGCCGCGUGAAGGAUGAAGGUCCUCUGGAUUGUAAACUUCUUUUAUAUGGGACGAAACCCGGGUAUUCCUACCCGAUUGACGGUACCAUAGGAAUAAGCACCGGCUAACUCCGUGCCAGCAGCCGCGGUAAUACGGAGGGUGCAAGCGUUAUCCGGAUUCACUGGGUUUAAAGGGUGCGUAGGAGGGCAGGUAAGUCAGUGGUGAAAUCUUCGAGCUUAACUCGGAAACUGCCGUUGAUACUAUCUGUCUUGAAUACCGUGGAGGUGAGCGGAAUAUGUCAUGUAGCGGUGAAAUGCUUAGAUAUGACAUAGAACACCGAUUGCGAAGGCAGCUCACUACACGAAUAUUGACUCUGAGGCACGAAAGCGUGGGGAUCAAACAGG